Molecule: RNA transcript, 1646 nt
Organism: Gymnogyps californianus (California condor)
Lineage: Eukaryota; Metazoa; Chordata; Aves; Accipitriformes; Cathartidae
Gene: RSRP1
Gene name: arginine and serine rich protein 1
Exons: 5
Source: RefSeq, a predicted model, not a curated record
GUUGGGUGGCGGGAGCGGGCGGCUGCUCUGAGGGCUGUGUCCUGCUGGGACUGUAUUGCGGCUUGUUUCCUGGGUGGAGGAGCCUGGCUGGUGGCUAUGGGGGUGACUCACGAAGCGGGGCUGUCUCCUCAGGCGUCGCCAGUGGAGCAGGAUCCAUGCGGGGGAAGCCCGGCUGGCUGGAGCCGAAGCGCCCUGGUGUCUCACGGGAACCAGCACCGGGGGUGUCCGGCGGCUCCCAGCGGAACAGAGACUGGGUAUUACAGAACAACAAUAAAAACGGAACCAGCUUCUGAAAGUAGCUGCAUGGAGAAAAUGGUGGUUAGGAAAACUGAAGAUAUGACAGACUUCAUGGAUGACUUAACCCUCAGCUCACCAAAGAAAAGAGAGUCGUCUUUGAGAUCCAAGAGGAGUUGUGAUAGGUCAUCGACAAGGUCAUCUAGCAGAUCCUCUUGCAGUUCACAGUCCAGUUCAAGUAGUUCCUCUUCAGCUUCCUCCAGGAGUUGGAGCCGGUCCAGAUCAAGGUCAUGGGCUAGAAGAAAUGGUUCCCGAAGGUACAGAAGAUACUCUCGUUCGUAUUCCAGAAGCCGGUCGAGAUCACGUGGCUACAUGAGGUACCGAGGAAGGUACCAUGCCAGACACUACAGGAGGUACCACCGCUCUCCUCCAAGAUACAGAUCACGCAGUAGGUCAUGGUCUCGUGGAAGAUCAUACUAUAGGAGGUCCUAUUCGAGAAGCAGAUCACGAUCAAGAGGCCGAAGAUACUAUGGAUUUGGGCGAACAAUAUAUCCUGAGGCUUACAGGAGCUGGAGAAGCAGGUCACGAACAAGAUCUCGGAGUAGGUCACCUCUCCAUUUGAGUGAAAAAGACAAGAGGGAACUCCUGGAAAUUGCGAAAGCUAAUGCUGCAAAAGCUCUGGGAACAGAUAACAUAGUCUUGCCAGCAAGCUUGAAGAUCCUUACUCCUACCAAAGAGAUAAAAAAUGAAAAACAAGAGCAUGAAGAUCCUGGAGAGUCAGCUGAGGUAAGUAUGAACUGGAGUAUUCUCAGUGAAAAGGUAAACACUUCUUAAAACUUGCCAUCUGCAUAGAUGUGUUAUAGUUUUUUAACUGUGGACUUUGUGAUUAUGAAUUCAAACCCUUGAACAUAAACUUCAGAUUUACCAGAACGCUAAAAACUACUACAGAAACCACUGUAGACUUUGUGUUAAGCUGAAAGUACUGUGGAAUCUUAAAGAGGUGGUUGAUCUGCUGAGUACAUGCAGGCUUUCCAGUAGUGAUAGGCUGGGAAGGAGAGGUGAAUGUAGUUUGUUCUUUGGAGUUGUUCUUCUAAUAGAAUAUUGCCCAUUAAUUAGACUAGUUUGUGUUACUGACCUAAAACAAGGAGUCUCCUUACCAAAUCUAGUGAAUAGUGUGGGUUUUUUUAAGGUUAAAUCUUUCUACCCUUUUUAACUGUUAAAAGCUUUUCAUGUGCAACAAACUGUUUCCCAGAAAUUACAUACCCAAGCACACAAUGCAUUUUACAUACUUUAUUUCUGUCUUAUAGAAAUCAUGACUAUGGUUCCAGACAUGAUGAAGAAAAUCUGUUGCAACCCAGAAGACUAGCAGAAGACAUGACCAAGAGUGGAAUGGAGAGAGCGACCAUACAGAG